Molecule: ribosomal RNA, 624 nt
Filed under: uncultured Bacteroidota bacterium
Lineage: Bacteria; Pseudomonadati; Bacteroidota
Description: bacterial SSU rRNA
Rfam family: Bacterial small subunit ribosomal RNA
Source: RNAcentral
GAAGGGGAUGCGUUCCAUUAGGCAGUUGGUGGGGUAACGGCCCACCAAACCUUCGAUGGAUAGGGGUUCUGAGAGGAAGGUCCCCCACAUUGGAAMUGAGACACGGUCCAAACUCCUACGGGAGGCAGCAGUGAGGAAUAUUGGUCAAUGGACGAGAGUGUGAACCAGCCAAGUAGCGUGAAGGAUGACUGCCCUAUGGGUUGUAAACUUCUUUUAUAUGGGAAUAAAGUGGUCCACGUGUGGGUUUUUGUAUGUACCAUAUGAAUAAGGAUCGGSUAACUCCGUGCCAGCAGCCGCGGUAAUACGGAGGAUCCGAGCGUUAUCCGGAUUUAUUGGGUUUAAAGGGAGSGUAGGUGGACAGUUAAGUCAGUUGUGAAAGUUUGCGGCUCAACCGUAAAAUUGCAGUUGAUACUGGCUGUCUUGAGUACAGUAGAGGUGGGCGGAAUUCGUGGUGUAGCGGUGAAAUGCUUAGAUAUCACGAAGAACUCCGAKUGCGAAGGCAGCUCACUGGACUGCAACUGACACUGAUGCUUGAAAGUGUGGGUAUCAAACAGGAUUAGAUACCCUGGUAGUCCACACAGUAAACGAUGAAUACUCGCUGUUUGCGAUAUACAGUAAGCGGCC